AAAGCUGAAAUGGUGGGGCAUUCGUUCUAUAACUUUGUUCAAAUUCUUCUAAUCUUCUUCUUUCCAUCGGCGGAAAAGAGUUCCUUCUUUUGUGCACUAAAGUCUAAACUUAAAUCUCAGGUUAUAGGAGGGAGGGAGGCUGCUAAAUACUUAAAUGGGUUGCAAAUAAUGGGCUAGCUUAUAACGGGUAUUAAAUAUAAUGCAUAAUGGGCUAAGUAAAAUUAUUUUAUGAGAAGUAUUAGUGAGCUGGACUUUGGGGGGCAAGGUGAGCUUAAAAGCCCUAUUAUUAAGGAACAAAUU
RNAcentral lists this unclassified non-coding RNA (300 nucleotides) under Hevea brasiliensis (rubber tree). The record is from RNAcentral. Lineage: Eukaryota; Viridiplantae; Streptophyta; Magnoliopsida; Malpighiales; Euphorbiaceae.